RNAcentral lists this ribosomal RNA (413 nucleotides) under uncultured bacterium. RNAcentral describes it as "bacterial SSU rRNA". It matches the Rfam family "Bacterial small subunit ribosomal RNA", at positions 355 to 787 of the family's 1533-position model. The record is from RNAcentral.
UGGGGAAUAUUGCACAAUGGGGAAGACCCUGAUGCAGCGACGCCGCGUGAGUGAAGAAGUAUUUCGGUAUGUAAAGCUCUAUCAGCAGGGAAGAAAAUGACGGUACCUGACUAAGAAGCCCCGGCUAACUACGUGCCAGCAGCCGCGGUAAUACGUAGGGGCAAGCGUUAUCCGGAUUUACUGGGUGUAAAGGGAGCGUAGACGGCAUGGCAAGUCUGAAGUGAAAGCCCGGGGCUCAACCCGGGACUGUUUGGAAAUCUGUCAGGCUAGAGUGCUGGAGAGGUAAGUGGAAUUCCUAGUGUAGCGGUGAAAUGCGUAGAUAUUAGGAGGAACACCAGUGGCGAAGGCGGCUUACUGGACAGUGACUGACGUUGAGGCUCGAAAGCGUGGGGAGCAAACAGGAUUAGAUACCC